UUCGUGUGAACAGUGGUUGAUCACGAGUUAGUCGGUCCUAAGUUCAAGGCGAAAGCCGAAAAUUUUCAAGUAAAAAUUGUAAUAUGUUAUAUAUAUGUUUGUUAUUAAAAACUUGAAUAAUUUUGAACGAAAGGGAAUACGGAUCCAAUUCCGUAACCUGUUGAGUAUCCGUUUGUUAUUAAAUAUGGGCCUCGUGCUCAUCCUGGCAACAGGAACGACCAUAAAGAAGCCGUCGAGAGAUAUCGGAAGAGUUUUCUUUUCUGUUUUAUAGCCGUACUACCAUGGAAGUCUUUCGCAGAGAGAUAUGGUAGAUGGGCUAGAAGAGCAUGACAUAUACUGUUGUGUCGAUAUUUUCUCCUCGGACCUUGAAAAUUUAUGGUGGGGAUACGCAAACUUCUCAACAGGCCGUACCAAUAUCCGCAGCUGGUCUCCAAGGUGAAGAGUCUCUAGUCGAUAGAAUA
Molecule: ribosomal RNA, 461 nt
Filed under: Dichaetophora cf. magnidentata/flava 0015
Lineage: Eukaryota; Metazoa; Arthropoda; Insecta; Diptera; Drosophilidae
Description: partial 28S ribosomal RNA
Rfam family: Eukaryotic large subunit ribosomal RNA
Source: RNAcentral